AUGGCGACGUCGCAAAGCUCAUGGCUCCUCAGACAUCCUUGUCCACUAGCGAUGCCAUGGACAAGAACAGGGUAUAAUAUAGGCCUCCAAGUGACCAACAUCGGUUUUGAAAUGAGCGAACCGUUGGGCGAGCGCUCGGGCGACAGCCUCGGUGACGCGGCUCGGCCCUCGCCGCGGGUGGCGGCGAACGGAUGGACCCUCGUUCGGAGCGGCGCAGGUGCCUCGGGCCGCUCGGCGGCGGGCGCGCCGGCGGCGCCGUCAACCUCGCUGGCCCUAGAACCUUGCGGGGGCAGGUCCUGGGCCCUGGUGGCGGAAGACUCGGGCGACGAAGGUGAGGAUGCAGAGGAUGGGGCGUGGAUACCGACGCCGUCAAGGCCCUUGGUGUGCGAUUUCGUGGCUUUCGCGGCGAGGUCGCAGCGCCGGGGGCGUGGACAUGGCCGGUGUUUUGCCCCGGGGGGUAGGGGCCCCAGGUCGGCGGCGUCUCGUGUCUGGAGUCCAGCGACACCUGGAAGUGGCAACAUGGCGGCGAAUGCGGCGGUGGCGUUGCUGCCUUCCCUGUCGCCCUCGGAGCCGGUCGAGGAUUGGCCAUGCUUGCCCUCGCCGAUGCGGCGGCUGGCGGCAGCGGCGCUGGAGGGACGGCGCGCGCCAGAGGAGGUGCCCGAGCUGGCCUCGAGGGCUGACGUGGCGGCGAGCGAGGCCGUGGGAGCGGUUCGUGGGCCACGGGCCGCGGUUGGGCCUGGGGUUGUGCCUUCGGUGGUGGAGGGGCUGAGUGUGGCCCAGUCGGUGGGGGAGGCUCAGGUGUCGGCGGCGGCCAGUGGAGUGGGUUCGGUCUGGCCCGACCCAGCUCAGCAGUCCCACGCGGCUCGGCCUGCCCCCGGCUAUAUAUGGCUGCGUCGCGGGGUGUUGGACCCUACUUUAGGGUUUCCAGCCACCGCUCGAGAGGUGCGGCGCUUUGGCCUCUUCGCCCGCACUCUCCAGAUCUCGCCUCCUCCCCCCCCCCUCUCGAUCUCCUUCGCGGCGGCGGUGAUGGGCGAUCGACGGGCGGACAAGAGACCGAUGGAGGCGCCGAAUCUGGAUGCUGAGAGAAGAAGAGAGAAGGAGCUGCGCGACAAGGCAAAGGCUUCUGCUCGGGAUCGCCAAGGGUACCGCGACGAGCGUGCACCGUGUGGCUACGUUUCGGAGCAGGUAGGGCGCGAGGGGGAUUGGGGCGCUCCUCCCCCUUGGUGGAUCCAGCAGCAGGAGAAGAAGAAAAAGAAGAAGGCGGGCCAGCGCCGCCGCGAGCUGGAGCGCAAAUCCAUGGAGCACCCCAACUGUGGUGGGGCCACGGGAUCCUCUCGCCAAAAAGCCCAUGGCGAGCGCGUGAUCUCCUUGCCGCCGCCACCUCCGCCUCUCACCCCUCCUCUGCCUUUGUCUCUGUGUUUCUCCUCCACUCCCCACGAUUCCCCCAACCAACCCCAUCACCGCCGCCGACGCCGACGACCUCCUCUCCCCCAACCCCACCGCCGGCGCCCCCCACCUCACCAGGAGCCACUGCCAUGGACAGAGCCGCUGCCUCUCUCGGCGCCCGAAGCCCUAGCUCAGGCCGCCGCGACCCACCCGCUGCGUCCCACGUUCACGCGCGAGAUCCGCCCCAUGGCGAUGUUCGAUCCAGGCAGGCCCGAGGAAGGAGAGCAGUCGGCUCCCUUCCUCCUCUCCGUCUCCGACGCUGUCGCCGCCCAGCCACGGAGUACCACCGCAACACCUGGUAUGGCGCACCACGGCCACCCAUCGCCGGUGACCUCCCAUAGCUCCGACCCUGGCUGCCUCCUAGCGCACUGCAGCUUCACCAGCCUCCCCCUCCCCACCUCCUCCGCACCGCCGCUGGACCAGCGUGCCGCGUUGCCCUCAGAUCCGGCUUCCAGGAGCUGCCACGGUCGUUCAGCAGGUAGCAUUGCGUGCAUCAUUGGCCGUGCGUGCAGUCCGCAUCCCCUUCGCAUGCCUGCACUACGGUUCGCUGGUGUAGUUCAAUGUUUGGCUCCGCCUCCCCCUGUUUGCAGCUCCUUUCAAUUCUUUUGCAGCUCACUGAAUAUAUUUUUGCAGUUCAUUGUGAGAAUCCAUUGCGCUAGCCGCGCCGCACCUUUUCCUGCUUCUUCUCGUCUGAGGCGAGCACCAGCGUUAAAAACUGCACUGUCAAAUUUGGACAGCCAGCUUCUAGGCCUGUGGAAAAGGACUGAAGAAUCCAUAGCAAGAACUGAGAGUGUUUACAGUUACUAUAUAAACUACAAGCUGAUGAAGAAGAAAGUAAAACAAUAUGGGCAGCAGCUCCAACAGGGAGAGAAAGACCGUCGCCGUGUUCUCAAGGAUUUCUCAAAGAUGCUUGAUGAUCAGGUAGAAGAUAGCAACAGAGUGGGAAGGUUUGUGCAGAGAUCUUGCCUCGAGGUUAAGACCUCACUGUCUGCUUCAACGAAGAGAUUUGAAGAGCUGCAAAAGGGUUUCUUCUGCCUCCGGUUCGACGACGAUGAAGAGGCGGAGGUGCCGGUGGAUGCGCGGAUCGAGAACGCUGCCAUCCUCUUGGCGGAGCCCGGCAAGCUGUCCCUCCGCAUCCUGCAGCAAGAGCUCAAGCUCAUCGUGGCUGGGGACUGGGACUGGGUGCGUGAUAUGCUGCAUGAAGAGAUCCAGUCCAUGGUGAUGCCCGAGGCUUGGGUGCGGCUGCACGGGAUCCCGAAGAAACACCGCGGGAGGAUAGGAUCAAAGAAGGUUUCAAGAUGUCGGGGCGACCUAUUGGUGGAUGAACUGUCUCCCACAAGGUUGGGGCCUGUGAGGAUGAAAUUGGCUUGCAAAGACCCAAACAAGCUUAACGGGGUGGUGGAAGUUUGGUUUAACCAUGAGGGCUAUCAAGUCAAAGUGGAGGUCGAGCGUUUGCCCAAACGUGUGGCGAUGGCGGCGCUCCGAGGCAGGGGCCCUCUGACCCUCGCCCCCCAUAUGAGGGUGACAAAUCUGAGCACCUGGGGCAACAGGGCGGCAACAGCAAGCAAUGUUCCCCCGCUGGCCCGCACUCUGGCUGGUGCUUUUGAUGAGUAUGGAUCAAACCUGGAGCUGCCUGUGCCUUCUCUCCUCUCUGAUCCAAUGAUGCUGGAGACCCCUCGGGCCCAUGUGAUCCCAUCUUCUCCGAUAGCGCUGGGGGCUGACUCUGGAUAUGUUUUGAAUGAAGGGGCCGGUCCGACCCCUGCGUCCGGCCGUCGUGGCUCGAGCGGGUCGGGCAGACAGCCUAAAAAGAUAGCGGGGAGGAAACCAGCGGCCAAGGAGACGACGUCGAAGAAGGUGGUGUCAUCGGCAGGGUUGUGUGGGACCAAACGAGCGCUCCUCCUCCCACUUGUUUUGGGUGCGGAAAAGAAUAACGACAAUGUGGACUGGGCUAGGGUGAACAUGUUCAAUAACGCAAUUGCGGCUAGGGCCUUGCGUGAGGCAACGCGUACGGGUGCGAGAUACACCUGGUCUAACAAACAGCUGCGUCCGGUGCGGAGCGUCCUUGACAGGGUGUUCUUCACCCCGGAGUGGGAGGCGAUCUUCCCUCUCUGUUCUCUGGUGGCGGAGACGCGUAUAGGCUCGGACCACCUCCCCCUCAUCUUCUCCUCUGGAGAGGAUUCUGUACGGAGAAAUCGUUGUUUCUACUUUGAAACAACGUGGUUUGGAGUUGAGGGCUUUGAGCUUAUGAUGUGUACACCGUUGGGGAAGCACCGAGAUGCUGAGCAGAUGUCGGAGGCCAUGUAG
RNAcentral lists this ribosomal RNA (3750 nucleotides) under Triticum aestivum (bread wheat). RNAcentral describes it as "partial small subunit ribosomal RNA". Lineage: Eukaryota; Viridiplantae; Streptophyta; Magnoliopsida; Poales; Poaceae. The record is from RNAcentral.